GUCCACGCCCUAAACGAUGUCAACUAGUUGUUGGGACCGCAAGGUUUUAGUAACGUAGCUAACGCGAGAAGUUGACCGCCUGGGGAGUACGGUCGCAAGAUUAAAACUCAAAGGAAUUGACGGGGACCCGCACAAGCGGUGGAUGAUGUGGAUUAAUUCGAUGCAACGCGAAAAACCUUACCUACCCUUGACAUGGACCAGAGCUACGAGAGAUUGUAGUGUGCUCGCAAGAGAAUGGUCACACAGGUGCUGCAUGGCUGUCGU
This 264-nucleotide ribosomal RNA is filed under the name uncultured bacterium. Its description in RNAcentral is "partial 16S ribosomal RNA". It matches the Rfam family "Bacterial small subunit ribosomal RNA", at positions 793 to 1055 of the family's 1533-position model. The record is from RNAcentral.